GCCUGGGUGGCUCAGACGGUUGAGCGUCUGACUUCGGCUCAGGUCAUGAUCUCGAGGUUCCGUGAGUUCAAGCCCCGCGUCGGGCU
Molecule: transfer RNA, 86 nt
Filed under: Felis catus (domestic cat)
Lineage: Eukaryota; Metazoa; Chordata; Mammalia; Carnivora; Felidae
Rfam family: tRNA
About the family: Transfer RNA (tRNA) molecules are approximately 80 nucleotides in length. Their secondary structure includes four short double-helical elements and three loops (D, anti-codon, and T loops). Further hydrogen bonds mediate the characteristic L-shaped molecular structure. tRNAs have two regions of fundamental functional importance: the anti-codon, which is responsible for specific mRNA codon recognition, and the 3' end, to which the tRNAs corresponding amino acid is attached (by aminoacyl-tRNA synthetases). tRNAs cope with the degeneracy of the genetic code in two manners: having more than one tRNA (with a specific anti-codon) for a particular amino acid; and 'wobble' base-pairing, i.e. permitting non-standard base-pairing at the 3rd anti-codon position.
Source: Rfam by way of RNAcentral